RNAcentral lists this transfer RNA (90 nucleotides) under Lentinula boryana. RNAcentral describes it as "tRNA-Val". The record is from RNAcentral. Lineage: Eukaryota; Fungi; Basidiomycota; Agaricomycetes; Agaricales; Omphalotaceae.
GGUUCGGUGGCGUAGUUGGUUAUCGCAUCUGUCUAACAUGAAAAUCAGUGGUUCCACAGAAGGUCCCCAGUUCGAGCCUGGGUCGAGUCA